AGUUUGAUCAUGGCUCAGGGAUGAACGCUAGCGGCAGGGCUUAACACAUGCAAGUCGAGGGGUAGAGGAAGCUUGCUUCCUUGAGACCGGCGCACGGGUGCGUAACGCGUAUGCAAUCUACCUUAUACAGGGGGAUAGCCCAGAGAAAUUUGGAUUAAUACCCCAUAGUAUAAUUGAAUGGCAUCAUUUGAUUAUUAAAGUUCCAACGGUAUAAGAUGAGCAUGCGUCCCAUUAGCUAGUUGGUGUGGUAACGGCACACCAAGGCGACGAUGGGUAGGGGUCCUGAGAGGAGAUCCCCCACACUGGUACUGAGACACGGACCAGACUCCUACGGGAGGCAGCAGUGAGGAAUAUUGGUCAAUGGGCGCAAGCCUGAACCAGCCAUGCCGCGUGCAGGAUGACGGUCCUAUGGAUUGUAAACUGCUUUUGUACAGGAAGAAACACUCCCUCGUGAGGGAGCUUGACGGUACUGUAAGAAUAAGGAUCGGCUAACUCCGUG
Molecule: ribosomal RNA, 499 nt
Filed under: uncultured bacterium
Lineage: Bacteria
Description: bacterial SSU rRNA
Rfam family: Bacterial small subunit ribosomal RNA
Source: RNAcentral